GAUGAACGCUGGCGGCGUGCUUAACACAUGCAAGUCGAACGGAAAGGCCAAGCUUUUGUCGGGUGUUCGAGUGGCGAACGGGUGGGUAACACGUGAGUAAUCUGCCCUUUACUUUGGGAUAACUUCAGGUAACUGGGGCUAAUACAGGAUAGGAACUCCUGCUGCAUGGAGGGGGGUGGAAAGAUUCGGCGGUUGGAGAUGGAAUCGCGGCUUAUCUUAUUGUUGGUGGGGUAGUGCCUCACCAAGGCUUAGACGGAUAGCCGGCCUGGGAGGGGGGCCGACCACAAUAGGACUGAGAUACGGCGCAGACAACAACAGGAGGAAGCAGUGGGAAAUAUGGCACAAUGAGCGGAAGCCUGAUGCAGCAACGCCGCGUGCGGGAUGACGGACUUCGGGUUGUAAACCGCUUUCGCCUAUGACGAAGCGUGAGUGACGGUAAUCGGUAAAGAAGCACCGGCUAACUACGUG
RNAcentral lists this ribosomal RNA (468 nucleotides) under uncultured bacterium. Its description in RNAcentral is "partial 16S ribosomal RNA". It matches the Rfam family "Bacterial small subunit ribosomal RNA", at positions 28 to 507 of the family's 1533-position model. The record is from RNAcentral.